CUCCUCUGGACCAGCUCCGCGCGUGCCGCUGCUCUGGGCGGCGGGGGAGGGCGGGCAGGCGCGCCCCGGACCUGCCCUGGCAGGGAGCAGGCACCAGUCCCGCCAGCCCGCGCUGGGACUCGCCCUGAGACGCGUUUCCCGGGGGCGGCGGCCUCGUCCCCCGCCCGGCCGCCCUUGGCCGGUGCUCUCCCACCUGAGGCGGGCGCGGGCGGCUCUGGCCGUCUGAGCUCCGCUUGGGUGACCGGCUUCCCUUGGGGAGGGGGCAGCGGAGCCGCCGCUCGCGCCGCUGCAGCCGGAGAAGCAGCCGCGGCGCCUGGGAACUUUUCUACAGGGUGUUCGCAACUUGUCUGAAAUGCGGCUGGGGCGAGUGGGCGCCUCUGAUCCCCCUGUCGGGUCUGGACUGCCGGUGGCCCGGGCUGCUUCCUUGCCUGCCCCUUUUCUGCAGCCCCGCCGGGCAGAGCAGCGGGGGCGAACUCCAGAGGUGACCCCAGAGGUAGGAGCAACCUGUCUGCUGGGUCUCAUCUGUUGUGGUUUGGUUCCAGCCUGCCCCGCGCUGUAACACUACUCGCAAGUGCUGCUGGACAGGACGCCGCUGGAGUGAGAUCUGCAGGUGCAGCGACUGGUACUUCAGCCCACCCUCGCCUGCUUUUUGCCCCCAGCUCUGGUUUACUCUGCACUGCAUACAGGAGUUUUCUGUUUUCUGGCAGGAACAAAAACGGGAGCAGUUCCACCAGAAGUACUGAAGAUAGGAACCAGCUGCUGAGUGUGCAACUUCAGGAAUAACCAUUUCCCUACUCCAAACUACUAGCCACAGCAACUUGCUAUUUCACAUUACCACAUGAAAAUUGCAUCCACUUCAUUGUGGAUACUUCUGUCAUAGAUGCAGAGAAUCUUCUCUUAAUGGCCAUGCAGUGUGGUGUUCCCUGAUUGAGUGUGCAGCUUAAAUAAAUUAUAAUGGAAGUUGAAAUGGGAAGAAUUGGACCCAACAACUAAUGGUGGAGACAGAAAACUAUGCUGUUGUCAUGCUUAUGAAAGGUCUCACUUCAGCAGCUCUGGAGAACAAAAUUCUCUAUCUUCAGAAUGAGCAGCAGCUGGACAGGAUUUUCUGCGUGGUGGAGGGAGAGUAUAGCUUCUUGGGUGAAGCUGGGAAUUUAUAUUGUCCAUGACUGAUGGUUCUUUCCUGCAUGCUGUCUAGAUGUCAUGCUGGAGAAGAUGACAAAUAGAAUUACAGUGUAACACACACCUGCUAAAAAUACUAGACCAACUUAUUGUAUGCAAUCAAAAUAUGAGUUGAUAACUUUCUACCACUAAUGAAUGUCUUGGAUUCAGUUCAGUAGCCACAUGAUUAAAACAGCACCUAGCUUUAAGAGUUGACCAUUGGACUGGCUUUUUCAAAAGUUGCUAUUGAAGUAAAUUUUGCAGCACUGAAAGAGUUAAAUUGAAGUGUCCUAUUCUAGGAUUAUAAUUUUAUUUAUUUAUUUAUUUGCCUAAGCUUGGGGUACAGCAUAUACUAUCAUGAUGUGAACUACUGUAUUGUUUCAUUUCCUUAACAUAAAUAAACCAAUCUUUAGCAGUUCACUAGAUGGUGGAGGGUUGAUUGCUAAUUAAACAAAUAGAAUUGCCAAAGCAUAUGUAGGAAGAAUUAUAACUGACACAGUAUUUUAUUAAAUAUUUCAGUUACUCCUGCCUCCCACUGCCAGAACUUUCAAUCCAUGAAAAUAUUAAGUGUCCUGGUCUCAUUUCAAAAAAUUCCCCCUUGUUUUAUGUUGCCAUCAUGUGGGCUUUUUCUAUUGUGUGUGUGUGUGUGUGUGUGUGUGUGUGUUCAAAAGCAGGCAGGAGGAAAAGGGAGGGUGAGGGCAGGGAGGCAGAACUGGAGCCAAAUCAGGACUUUUUAAAUUUCUCUACUUAAAUAAACACUACCAGAAUCAAGAAGAUAUAUAUUUUAUAUAGGCUAUUUAUUUAAGUAACUAAAGUAUAUACAUCUUUGAUCUAAUGUGUGGUAUACUCUUUAGUGGUGACUUUCUUUGCUACAAGUCCCUUGUUAUGACGUAUCAGUUCUCUGAAACUGUCA
Molecule: long non-coding RNA, 2071 nt
Organism: Chelonia mydas (Green sea turtle)
Lineage: Eukaryota; Metazoa; Chordata; Testudines; Cheloniidae
Exons: 6
Source: RefSeq, a predicted model, not a curated record